AUGUCGCCGAGGAGACCAGAGGCCGUGGCGACGCUGUUCAUGCUCAUGCUUUUCAACGCUUCAGGAGCAUUUGUUGGUAUCAACAUUGGCACUGGGGUGUCAGACCUGCCAUCAGCAUCAGACAUAGUCUCCACCCUUAAAGCCAUGAAGAUCCAACAUGUUCGCUUGGUUGAUUCAGACCAUCAGAUGCUUGUCGCCCUCGCGAACACCGGAAUCGAAGUGAUGGUCGGUGUGCCAAACGAUCAGCUGCUCCGUGUGGGGCAGUCUCGUCCGGCAGCUGUUGAUUGGGUCAACAAGAAUGUUGCUGCCUACAUUCCGGCUACAAACAUCACGUAUAUCGCCGUGGGCGAUGAGGUUCUUUCCACUCUCCCAAAUGCAGCUCUUGUUCUGGUACCUGCAUUGCAGUUCCUCCAGUCAGCACUGUUGGCUGCGAACCUCAAUACCCAAGUGAAACUAUCAAGUCCUCACUCAAUGGAUAUGAUUCCCAAGGCAUUUCCUCCCUCUACCGCCACUUUCAACUCGACGUGGAGCUCAAUAAUGCUUCCGUAUCUUCAGUUUCUGAAGAGUACAGGAUCUUCCUUCAUGCUGAAUGCUCAACCAUACUAUAGCUAUGUGGGAGGGCAAGGUGUGUUCCCUUUGGAGUAUGCCCUGUUCCGAUCACUCAAUCCCAACAGUCAGGUUGCGGAUCCCAACACUAAUUUGUUCUAUACCAACAUGUUUGAUGCUAUGGUUGAUGCUGCGUACAACUCGAUGAAAGCCAUGAAUUUCACCAAUAUUUCUGUUAUAGUCACAGCUUCUGGUUGGCCAUGGCGUGGUGGACGAAAUGAGCCGGCUGCUGAUGUUGACAAUGCUCUGGCCUACAAUACAAAUCUCAUACGCCAUGUGCUAAAUAAUUCUGGUACACCUAGCCAGCCAGAUAACCAAGUAAGCACAUACCUAUUUGAGCUGUUCAACGAGGAUCGUCGGGCUGGACCUGUUUCGGAGCAAAGUUGGGGCAUUAUGUUUACCAACGCAAGUGCGGUGUACUCCCUGACAUUUGAAGAUGUGGCCACAAAUAACACUGACUCGCCGGGUUUGCGCGGGAUGUUUUGUGUGGCAAAUUCAAGUGCAACCCAUAGUGCAUUGAAGCAAAGCUUGGAUUGGGUAUGUGGCCCUGGCUCCGCAAACUGCAGUGCCAUUCAACCUGGGCAGCAAUGCUAUAAAGCAGAUGACAUUGUAGCUGUUGCUUCGUAUGCAUUCAACGAUUAUUAUCAUAGAACACAAGCGAGUGGCGGUACAUGCAACUUUAAUGGCACAGCAACCAUAUCAUCUACGGAUCCAAGCCAUGGAUCAUGUGUUUUCGCAGGAAGCAACGGUGCCAAUGGCAGCAGUGGUGAUGCGGCUGCUGGUCCUGUGAGCCAAGACAGUUUUGCCUCGCAAUCCCAGUCUUGCUGGUUGACUUACCUAGCUGCCGUGCUUCUGCCUGCUGUACUUCUCAUGUAA
RNAcentral lists this ribosomal RNA (1482 nucleotides) under Triticum aestivum (bread wheat). RNAcentral's name for it is "partial small subunit ribosomal RNA". Lineage: Eukaryota; Viridiplantae; Streptophyta; Magnoliopsida; Poales; Poaceae. The record is from RNAcentral.